This 556-nucleotide long non-coding RNA is filed under the name Phasianus colchicus (ring-necked pheasant). RNAcentral's name for it is "lncRNA (ENSPCLG00000001523.1)". Lineage: Eukaryota; Metazoa; Chordata; Aves; Galliformes; Phasianidae. The record is from RNAcentral.
GGUGAAUCAGACGAUAAGGGAAAAUAUUCAAGUACGCUGCCCACUGAAUAAGUUCUAAACUAAAACCAAUGAUUAAAAGAAAGUUUGACAUAAUGAAAGAACUUUUUCUUCAUUGUUAUUAUUGAUGAAAGUAGACUCUGGACUUCUUUUCUUAUCAUUAUCAUGUAAAGCUAGAAUCUACAUUUAACUUAUAGGGAAUAUGACCUUUACAUUAACUGGGGAAAAAAAAAUAAAAAUCUGAAUAGUCCUGAGCCACCAAUCCCAAUAAAGUUUCCCUUUCCCCUACAGGUAGCAUGAAAUGGAGCCAGGAUGACAGGGCCCCAUCUGAGCCAUGCCCAGCUCCCCCAGUCUGCACAAACCCACUCUAUCAAUCACGACUCCUCUUCAUGCAUGAUUGUAAGUUUGACAGGGACGUUUUCCUCCACAAACUUGCUGUGAAAGAUCUGCUUCCGGAGGCCACGGAUUUGUGUGUGGUGGAAUGGAGUUUUGCAGUAAAAGUGUGGCAUCUGGUGGUCCAGAGGAGAAAUGGCAGCCCACUCUGUGAAGAAAGAAAUGG